GACACUUUGGUGCUUAAAUUUUAAUUUAUUAUAAUUUAUCGCUAAAAUUUUUAAAUUGUUACAAUCAAAUUCUAUAACAUAAUUUAGUUGAUUAAAUAUUAAUAUAUUAUUAAUAAAAAAAUUAAAUACUAAUACUAUAAUUGAUAAUGCGCUAAUAAUUAAGAUUUAUAUUACUUUUACAUUCUUGAUUCGUUAAUAUUAAAUUGAUAUUAUGAAACUUAGUUAUAAUA
This 230-nucleotide long non-coding RNA is filed under the name Ananas comosus (pineapple). RNAcentral's name for it is "long non-coding RNA (ACOM_LNC006363)". Lineage: Eukaryota; Viridiplantae; Streptophyta; Magnoliopsida; Poales; Bromeliaceae. The record is from RNAcentral.